AAGUCGUAACAAGGUUUCCGUAGGUGAACCUGCGGAAGGAUCAUUAUUGAAGCUCGGAAUGCGUGUUCGGUGCUGAUGCUGCCCAGCGAUGGGAUGUGCUCGCUCGGAUGUGUGUCCCUUUCUAUUCCACCCCUUUGUGAACCAAGUGUGCGAGCCGAUGAGAGAUCGGAAGCUCGCAUGCAAACCCCUUAACAUACCCCCAAUGAAGUAUCAGAAUGUAACUUGCGUUAACUCGCACAAAUACAA
This 246-nucleotide unclassified non-coding RNA is filed under the name plant metagenome. RNAcentral describes it as "partial contains small subunit ribosomal RNA and internal transcribed spacer 1". The stretch from base 1 to 46 matches the Rfam family "Eukaryotic small subunit ribosomal RNA", at positions 1786 to 1831 of the family's 1831-position model. The record is from RNAcentral.